CAAUGGAGGAAACUCUGAUGCAGCGAUGCCGCGUGAGUGAAGAAGGCCUUUGGGUUGUAAAGCUCUUUCGUCGGGGAAGAAAAUGACUGUACCCGAAUAAGAAGGUCCGGCUAACUUCGUGCCAGCAGCCGCGGUAAUACGAAGGGACCUAGCGUAGUUCGGAAUUACUGGGCUUAAAGAGUUCGUAGGUGGUUGAAAAAGUUGGUGGUGAAAUCCCAGAGCUUAACUCUGGAACUGCCAUCAAAACUUUUCAGCUAGAGUUUGAUAGAGGAAAGCAGAAUUUCUAGUGUAGAGGUGAAAUUCGUAGAUAUUAGAAAGAAUACCAAUUGCGAAGGCAGCUUUCUGGAUCAUUACUGACACUGAGGAACGAAAGCAUGGGUAGCGAAGAGGAUUAGAUACCCUCGUAGUCCAUGCCGUAAACGAUGUGUGUUAGACGUUGGAAAUUUAUUUUCAGUGUCGCAGCGAAAGCGAUAAACACACCGCCUGGGGAGUACGACCGCAAGGUUAAAACUCAAAUGAAUUGACGGGGACCCGCACAAGUAGUGGAGCAUGUGGUUUAAUUCGAAGAUACGCGCAGAACCUUACCAACACUUGACAUGUUCGUCGCGACUUUAAGAGAUUAAAGUUUUCGGUUCGGCCGGACGAAACACAGGUGCUGCAUGGCUGUCGUCAGCUCGUGUCGUGAGAUGUUGGGUUAAGUCCCGCAACGAGCGCCACCCUCACUUUUAGUUGCCAUCAUUUAGUUGGGC
RNAcentral lists this ribosomal RNA (749 nucleotides) under uncultured Alphaproteobacteria bacterium. Its description in RNAcentral is "bacterial SSU rRNA". It matches the Rfam family "Bacterial small subunit ribosomal RNA", at positions 369 to 1136 of the family's 1533-position model. Lineage: Bacteria; Pseudomonadati; Pseudomonadota; Alphaproteobacteria. The record is from RNAcentral.